This 460-nucleotide ribosomal RNA is filed under the name uncultured bacterium. RNAcentral describes it as "partial 16S ribosomal RNA". It matches the Rfam family "Bacterial small subunit ribosomal RNA", at positions 338 to 795 of the family's 1533-position model. The record is from RNAcentral.
CCUACGGGUGGCAGCAGUGAGGAAUAUUGGUCAAUGGACGAAAGUCUGAACCAGCCAAGUCGCGUGAAGGAUGACUGCCCUAUGGGUUGUAAACUUCUUUUAUAUGGGAAUAAAAUGUUCCACGUGUGGGAUUUUGUAUGUAUCAUAUGAUUAAGGAUCGGCUAACUCCGUGCCAGCAGCCACGGUAAUACGGAGGAUCCGGGCGUUAUCCGGAUGUAUUGGGUUUAAAGGGUGCGUAGGUGGAUUGUUAAGUCAGGUGUGAAAGGUUGCGGCUCAACCGGAAAAUUGCAGUUGAAACUGGAAGUCUUGAGUACAGGAGAGGUGGGCGGAAUUCGUGGUGUAGCGGUGAAAUGCUUAGAUAUCACGAAGAACUCCGAUUGCGAAGGCAGUUCACUGGACUGCAACUGACACUGAGGCUCGAAAGUGUGGGUAUCAAACAGGAUUAGAUACCCUUGUAGUC